UACGUAGGGUGCAAGCGUUGUCCGGAAUUAUUGGGCGUAAAGAGUUCGUAGGCGGUCUGUUGCGUCCGCUGUGAAAACUCGGGGCUUAACCCCGAGCCUGCAGUGGAUACGGGCAGACUAGAGGUAGGUAGGGGAGAAUGGAAUUCCCGGUGUAGCGGUGAAAUGCGCAGAUAUCGGAGGAACACCGGUGGCGAAGGCGGUUCUCUGGGCCUUACCUGACGCUGAGGAGCGAAAGCGUGGGAGCGAA
RNAcentral lists this ribosomal RNA (247 nucleotides) under uncultured bacterium. RNAcentral describes it as "partial 16S ribosomal RNA". It matches the Rfam family "Bacterial small subunit ribosomal RNA", at positions 524 to 772 of the family's 1533-position model. The record is from RNAcentral.